This 445-nucleotide ribosomal RNA is filed under the name Citrobacter freundii. RNAcentral describes it as "bacterial SSU rRNA". It matches the Rfam family "Bacterial small subunit ribosomal RNA", at positions 1 to 442 of the family's 1533-position model. The record is from RNAcentral. Lineage: Bacteria; Pseudomonadati; Pseudomonadota; Gammaproteobacteria; Enterobacterales; Enterobacteriaceae. RNAcentral also lists the same sequence under 2 other names.
AAAUUGAAGAGUUUGAUCAUGGCUCAGAUUGAACGCUGGCGGCAGGCCUAACACAUGCAAGUCGAACGGUAGCACAGAGGAGCUUGCUCCUUGGGUGACGAGUGGCGGACGGGUGAGUAAUGUCUGGGAAACUGCCCGAUGGAGGGGGAUAACUACUGGAAACGGUAGCUAAUACCGCAUAACGUCGCAAGACCAAAGAGGGGGACCUUCGGGCCUCUUGCCAUCGGAUGUGCCCAGAUGGGAUUAGCUAGUAGGUGGGGUAACGGCUCACCUAGGCGACGAUCCCUAGCUGGUCUGAGAGGAUGACCAGCCACACUGGAACUGAGACACGGUCCAGACUCCUACGGGAGGCAGCAGUGGGGAAUAUUGCACAAUGGGCGCAAGCCUGAUGCAGCCAUGCCGCGUGUAUGAAGAAGGCCUUCGGGUUGUAAAGUACUUUCAGCGA